UACCUCAGUAACGGCGAGUGAAGCGGUAACAGCUCAAAUUUGAAAGCUAGCUCUUUUAGGGUUCGCAUUGUAAUUUGUAGAAGAUGCUUCGGGUGUGGCCCCGGUCUAAGUUCCUUGGAACAGGACGUCAUAGAGGGUGAGAAUCCCGUAUGUGACUGGGUGCUUUCGCUCAUGUGAAGCUCUUUCGACGAGUCGAGUUGUUUGGGAAUGCAGCUCAAAAUGGGUGGUAAAUUUCAUCUAAAGCUAAAUAUUGGCCAGAGACCGAUAGCGCACAAGUAGAGUGAUCGAAAGAUGAAAAGCACUUUGGAAAGAGAGUUAAACAGUACGUGAAAUUGUUGAAAGGGAAGCGCUUGCAACCAGACUUGCGCGCUGAUGAUCAUCCGGGCUUCUGUCCGGUGCACUCGUCUGCGCUCAGGCCAGCAUCGGUUUCGGUGGUGGGAUAAAGGCCUUGGGAAUGUAGCUCCUCUCGGGGAGUGUUAUAGCCCUCGGUGCAAUGCCGCCUACCGGGACCGAGGACCGCGCUUCGGCUAGGAUGCUGGCGUAAUGGUUGUAAGCGACCCGUCUUGAAACACGGACCAAGGAGUCUAACAUCUAUGCGAGUGUUUGGGUGUCAAACCCAUACGCGUAAUGAAAGUGAACGGAGGUGAGAACCCUUAAGGGUGCAUCAUCGACCGGUCCUGAUGUCUUCGGAUGGAUCUGAGUAAGAGCAUAGCUGUUGGGACCCGAAAGAUGGUGAACUAUGCGUGAAUAGGGUGAAGCCAGAGGAAACUCUGGUGGAGGCUCGCAGCGGUUCUGACGUGCAAAUCGAUCGUC
This 813-nucleotide ribosomal RNA is filed under the name Oculimacula acuformis. RNAcentral's name for it is "partial large subunit ribosomal RNA". It matches the Rfam family "Eukaryotic large subunit ribosomal RNA", at positions 76 to 906 of the family's 3401-position model. The record is from RNAcentral. Lineage: Eukaryota; Fungi; Ascomycota; Leotiomycetes; Helotiales; Ploettnerulaceae.